GAUGAAGAACGCAGUGAAAUGCGAUACGUAAUGUGAAUUGCAAAUUCAGUGAAUCAUCGAGUCUUUGAACGCACAUUGCGCCCCCUGGUAUUCCGGGGGGCAUGCCUGUCCGAGCGUCAUUGCUGCCCUCAAGCACGGCUUGUGUGUUGGGCCCCGUCCUCCGAUCCCGGGGGACGGGCCCGAAAGGCAGCGGCGGCACCGCGUCCGGUCCUCGAGCGUAUGGGGCUUUGUCACCCGCUCUGUAGGCCCGGCCGGCGCUUGCCGAUCAACCCAAAUUUUUAUCCAGGUUGACCUCGGAUCAAGUAGGGAUACCCGCUGAACUUAAGCAUAUCAAUAAGCGGAGGA
RNAcentral lists this unclassified non-coding RNA (345 nucleotides) under soil metagenome. Its description in RNAcentral is "partial contains 5.8S ribosomal RNA, internal transcribed spacer 2, and large subunit ribosomal RNA". The stretch from base 1 to 119 matches the Rfam family "5.8S ribosomal RNA", at positions 35 to 154 of the family's 154-position model. The record is from RNAcentral.